RNAcentral lists this small RNA (120 nucleotides) under Marmota monax (woodchuck). The record is from RNAcentral. Lineage: Eukaryota; Metazoa; Chordata; Mammalia; Rodentia; Sciuridae.
GCUGGGCAUGGUGGCGCACACCUGUAAUCCCCGCGGCUGGGGAGGCUGAGACAGGAGAAUUGCAGGUUCAAAGCCAGCCUCAGCAUUGGCAGUUAACAACUCAGUGAGACCCUGUCUCUA